GCCCUUGUAGUAUAAACAUUACCCCGGUCUUGUAAACCAGAAAUGAGGUACAAACCCCUCCCAGGGCA
Molecule: transfer RNA, 68 nt
Filed under: Ochotona gloveri
Lineage: Eukaryota; Metazoa; Chordata; Mammalia; Lagomorpha; Ochotonidae
Also listed under: 1 other name
Description: tRNA-Thr
Rfam family: tRNA
About the family: Transfer RNA (tRNA) molecules are approximately 80 nucleotides in length. Their secondary structure includes four short double-helical elements and three loops (D, anti-codon, and T loops). Further hydrogen bonds mediate the characteristic L-shaped molecular structure. tRNAs have two regions of fundamental functional importance: the anti-codon, which is responsible for specific mRNA codon recognition, and the 3' end, to which the tRNAs corresponding amino acid is attached (by aminoacyl-tRNA synthetases). tRNAs cope with the degeneracy of the genetic code in two manners: having more than one tRNA (with a specific anti-codon) for a particular amino acid; and 'wobble' base-pairing, i.e. permitting non-standard base-pairing at the 3rd anti-codon position.
Source: RNAcentral